This 1053-nucleotide long non-coding RNA is filed under the name Parus major (Great Tit). RNAcentral's name for it is "lncRNA (ENSPMJG00000016262.1)". The record is from RNAcentral. Lineage: Eukaryota; Metazoa; Chordata; Aves; Passeriformes; Paridae.
AUGCUGUGGGUUUAUUUAUUUGUUUACUUAUUUAUUUAUGAACUGCUCCUUUGCAUCCCCGUUCGUUGCCAAGUUGGUGCCAGUCUGCAGCGUGCUCUCGCUGGGGCUCGCUCCUGCCUGGGGAGACAGGUCCCAAAAAACCUUGGUGGCUUUUCUGAGCCACCAACUGGGGGAAAAACACUGUGGAAAGGAGCAGCUGGGAAUGAAGAAUUUCUGAACUCGGGGCCGACUGUCACGGGGUGGGUGGGAAAUGGAAUGGGAGACGUGGGAGUGGGAGCGGAGCCGCCGGGCAGCCGAGCUUGGAGUGGCAUCAAAGUCGUUGCCUACACCCACGAGCCUGGCUGGGGUUGGGAGCAGCCUGUGCUCGGUGUCAGGAGAGAAUGUGCAGUUUGUUCCCUCAACUACAGACCUGGAAGGGCUCAAAUUCCGGGUAACUUUGUGGCCUUUUGCUGUGGAUUUUUGUCUCGAUGCCGGGGUUGCGCUGAGCUGCCCCGGGAUGUCCCCUCGCCCCUCCCCGUGGGAUUUCCCUGGAUUUCUCUGUGCCUGUUCCGAUGGAGAGCAGUGCUCUGGGACGCUCUGGAAUGCUCUGGGAUGCUCUGGGACACUCUGGAGCUGGAUCCCUGCUGGCUGUGUCCGUGUUCCUCCUGGAACAGGAGCUGCAUCCAGUGCCCCGCCAGAGACGCUGCCAAGCCUCGUGUCCCCCUUGUCCGUGGAUGUUUCCCGCUGUUGAUGUCUGUGGAAGAGGAAAGAGCCCCAUCCCCCAGCUCCAAGGGCCUGGAGCUCGAGUUCCAGGUUUUGGAAGUUCAGCCUUUUUUUGGUUUUUGGUGCUGUCAUGUCCUGUUGAGCCGUGACCCUGUUGGGAGCAAGGCCACGUGUCCCAAGUCCGAGUGGUGCCAUGUUUGUGUCGCAGAACGUGGAGUUCUUGGCUUGCUGUUGCACUAUAAAUUCCAAGUGUGCCACACGCUUCAAUCCACUGGUUUUUCUUUUCCUUUUGGAAGUCCUUGUGCUCAUCUUCCAUUCUUUCGUCCGCCCCGUCCCUUGUGUCACCUGUAA